GACGAACGCUGGCGGCGUGCCUAAUACAUGCAAGUAGAACGCUGAAGAGAGGAGCUUGCUCUUCUUGGAUGAGUUGCGAACGGGUGAGUAACGCGUAGGUAACCUGCCUUGUAGCGGGGGAUAACUAUUGGAAACGAUAGCUAAUACCGCAUAACAAUGGAUGACACAUGGCUUUUAUUUGAAAGGGGCAAUUGCUCCACUACAAGAUGGACCUGCGUUGUAUUAGCUAGUAGGUGAGGUAAUGGCUCACCUAGGCGACGAUACAUAGCCGACCUGAGAGGGUGGUCGGCCACACUGGGAAUGGGACACGGCCCAGGCUCCUACGGGAGGCAGCAGUAGGGGAUCUUCGGCAAUAGGGGGAACCCUGACCGAGGAACGCCGCGGGAGUGAAGAAGGUUUUCGGAUCGUAAAGCUCUGUUGUAAGUCAAGAACGGGAGUGAGAGUGGAAAGUUCACACUGUGACGGUAGCUAACCAGAAAGGGACGGCUAACUACGUG
This 497-nucleotide ribosomal RNA is filed under the name uncultured bacterium. Its description in RNAcentral is "partial 16S ribosomal RNA". It matches the Rfam family "Bacterial small subunit ribosomal RNA", at positions 28 to 507 of the family's 1533-position model. The record is from RNAcentral.